GGGAGGCAGCAGUGAGGAAUAUUGGUCAAUGGACGAGAGUCUGAACCAGCCAAGUAGCGUGAAGGAUGACUGCCUAUGGGUUGUAAACUUCUUUUAUACGGGAAUAAGUGAGCCACGUGUGGCUUUUUGUAUGUACCGUAUGAAUAAGGAUCGGCUAACUCCGUGCCAGCAGCCGCGGUAAUACGGAGGAUCCGAGCGUUAUCCGGAUUUAUUGGGUUUAAAGGGAGCGUAGGCGGGUUGUUAAGUCAGUUGUGAAAGUUUGCGGCUCAACCGUAAAAUUGCAGUUGAUACUGGCGACCUUGAGUGCAACAGAGGUAGGCGGAAUUCGUGGUGUAGCGGUGAAAUGCUUAGAUAUCACGAAGAACUCCGAUUGCGAAGGCAGCUUACUGGAUUGU
Molecule: ribosomal RNA, 395 nt
Filed under: uncultured bacterium
Lineage: Bacteria
Description: bacterial SSU rRNA
Rfam family: Bacterial small subunit ribosomal RNA
Source: RNAcentral